This 498-nucleotide ribosomal RNA is filed under the name uncultured bacterium. RNAcentral's name for it is "partial 16S ribosomal RNA". It matches the Rfam family "Bacterial small subunit ribosomal RNA", at positions 28 to 507 of the family's 1533-position model. The record is from RNAcentral.
GAUGAACGCUGGCGGCGUGCCUAAUACAUGCAAGUCGAGCGAACAGACGAGGAGCUUGCUCCUCUGACGUUAGCGGCGGACGGGUGAGUAACACGUGGAUAACCUACCUAUAAGACUGGGAUAACUUCGGGAAACCGGAGCUAAUACCGGGUAAUAUAUUGAACCGCAUGGUUCAAUAGUGAAAGACGGUUUUGCUGUCACUUAUAGAUGGAUCCGCGCCGCAUUAGCUAGUUGGUAAGGUAACGGCUUACCAAGGCAACGAUGCGUAGCCGACCGGAGAGGGGGGGGUGCCGGCCUGGGAGGGGGACCAGCCCCACGGCGCCUGGGGAGGGGGCCAGGCGCCUACGUGCGGCAGCGGUGGGGAACAUUGCGGAAGGGGCGCAAGUGAGAUGGAGCGUCGUCGCGUGCGAGAGGACGUUCUUCGGGGUGUAAACAUAUUUGAAUAGGGCAGAACCGAGUGUGACGGUACCUGAAGAAGAAGCGCCGGCUAACUACGUG